Molecule: long non-coding RNA, 2423 nt
Filed under: Nicotiana benthamiana
Lineage: Eukaryota; Viridiplantae; Streptophyta; Magnoliopsida; Solanales; Solanaceae
Description: long non-coding RNA (NBEN_LNC019538)
Source: RNAcentral
GGCACUUAAUUGAUAAGUGCUAUAAGAUUCAUGGGUUUCCUCAAAAUAUCAAAUACAACAAGGGAAGGAAAUCUGCUGCUGCUCAUGUCUCCACUAGUGAGGAAAGUGUGUCUGCUAAACAUGGGAAUCCUAAUAUGUCUGUUCCUUUUGGGGAUCCUCCUGGCAGCCAUCACCAUGUUACAAACAUAGAUGGCCAAAAUUCUGUGAUACCAGGGUUGAGCAGACAACAAUAUGAUCAAUUGCUGAGCUUAUUGCAACAGACCCAGUUAGGAGAUUCCAGUGCUCAGGCUCCUCCUCCCAUGUAUGCUGCUAAUUUUGCUGGUACUAUGUUGAUUGAGAGUCUUGUUUCUGAUUCCAAAUUAUGCAUGCUUACACACACUAAUUCUGUCACCUGGAUCAUAGAUUCAGGGGCAUCUAAUCAUAUGACACAUGAUAAAAACUUACUCUUUAACAUCAUACCUUUGACUGUUCCUUAUCUUGUAACUUUGCCUAAUGGUUACAAAGUGAAAGUAACUUGUACAUGUUCUUUUGCAUUAACUUCUUUCAUUACUCUUCACAAUGUACUGCUUGUCCCUUCCUUUAAACACAACUUGAUUUCUGUCCACAAGUUGGUAAAACAGUUGCACUGUAUAGUUUUGUUUACUCCACAUGGUACAGGACCCUUCUCUGAAGAGGCUUCUGGAUCUUGGUAAAGAGGAAGCUGGUCUAUACAAAUUGUCUUGGGUUCCACCUUCUCCUUCUUCCUCUAUUGAAUGUUCAUCUACUUCUGUAUGUGCUUUGUCUAAUUCUUGUAAUGAUGACAAUAUGUCUGACAGCAAGGAUGUUGCAUUGCCUUCAACUGUGAAUAAUUCCAUUUGUAAUAAUGUUGUUACAACUGAUAUGAAUUACAUUUGGCAUUUAAGACUAGCACAUACUUCCUUUGCAAAUAUUAGACAUAUUUCUGGUUUAUCUUUUCCAUUUGCUUCUAAACAACCUUUUCCUUGUUCUGUCUGUCCUAUGGCCAAACAAACCAGACUCCCUUUUCCUGAUAGCAGUAUCAGAAGACUAGCACAUACUUCCUUUGCAAAUAUGAGACAUAUUUCUGGUUCUUCCUUUCUAUUUGCUUCUAGACAACCUUUUCCUUGUUCUGUUUGUCCUAUGGCCAAACAAACCAGACUCCCUUUUCCUGAUAGCAGUAUCAAUACUACUAAGCCUUUUCAAUUGAUACAUGUGGAUACUUGGGGACCUUACCAUACUUCCACUUCUUCUGGUUGUAGAUAUUUCCUUACAAUAGUUGAUGAUUUCUCUAGGGCAACCUGGACACACUUAAUGGGCUCUAAAAGUAAUGCCUGCUCCUUGCUCAAAUCUUUCAUCUGUUUGGUUAAAACUCAGUUUAAUACUAUGGUUCAAACUGUUAGAAGUGACAAUGCUUUAGAAUUGGGGUCUGGCAAUGAGGGUAUAUCUUUCUUAUUAGCCAGGGGAUUAUUCAUCAAACCUCCUGCCCUCAUUCAUCUCAACAGAACGGUGUUGUUGAAAGGAAGCAUAGAACCCUUCUUGAAACAUGUAGAGCCUUACUUUUUCAAUAUGGAAUACCUGUAUCUUUCUGGGGGGAUUGCCUGUUGACUGCUACUUAUCUCCUUAACAGAAUACCAUCCAGAUUACUUCACAAUAAGUCUCCCAAUGAAAUUUUGUAUGGGAAAGCUCCAUCCUAUUCUCAUUUGAGGGCAUUUGGGUGCCUUGCUUAUGCUACUGCCCCCACUCCUCAAAGGGACAAAUUGAAGCCUAGAGCCCUCUCUUGUGUUUUUCUGGGUUACCCAUUUGCCAAAAAACGGUUAUAAACUGUAUGAUCAGGCUUCCAAGAAAUGUUUUAUCUCCAAGGAUGUCAUAUUCCAUGAAACAUAUUUUCCUUUUAAGAAUAAACCUUCUUCUGCUCAUUCUUCUCCUUCAUCCCUUCCUUUCAUUCCUCCUGCUGAGCAUUCCACUGACACCACCUUUCCUAUACAUGCUUCCUCUCCUUCUUCCCCUACAUCUGUUGCUACAUCUGUUCCAGCCCCUAAUUCUACUGUUCCUGAUUUUACAGAUACUGAUCCAUCUCCCCUUCCUUCUUUCAAUCCUGAUAUCUCUCCUCCUGUUUUACCUUCUUCACAAUCUCUUCCUGCUCCUAGAAAAUCCACUAGACAGCAUAAUCCUCCUUCCUAUCUUAAGGAUUAUGUCUGCCAACUCCCUGCCUUUUCUGGAUCCUCUUCCUUCCCAACCUCUUCCUGUUCCUAGGAAAUCCACUAGACAGCAUAAUCCUCCAUCCUAUCUUAAGGAUUAUGUCUGUCAACUCCCUGCCUUUUCUGGAUCCGCUUCUUCUACUUUGGAAUCUGAACCUUUAUAUUACUCUCAAGAUGCACCUGUUGCAGCAUGGCAGGAUGCCAUGAGACAGGAGUUUGAUGCUUUGG